GCGGCGUGCCUAAUACAUGCAAGUCGAGCGGAUCUUCAUUAGCUUGCUUUUGAAGAUCAGCGGCGGACGGGUGAGUAACACGUGGGCAACCUGCCUGUAAGACUGGGAUAACUUCGGGAAACCGGAGCUAAUACCGGAUAAUCCUUUCCCUCACAUGAGGGAAAGCUGAAAGACGGUUUCGGCUGUCACUUACAGAUGGGCCCGCGGCGCAUUAGCUAGUUGGUGAGGUAACGGCUCACCAAGGCAACGAUGCGUAGCCGACCUGAGAGGGUGAUCGGCCACACUGGGACUGAGACACGGCCCAGACUCUACGGGAGGCAGCAGUAGGGAAUCUUCCGCAAUGGACGAAAGUCUGACGGAGCAACGCCGCGUGAACGAUGAAGGCUUUCGGGUCGUAAAGUUCUGUUGUCAGGGAAGAACAAGUAUCGGAGUAACUGCCGGUACCUUGACGGUACCUGACCAGAAAGCCACGGCUAACUACGUGCCAGCAGCCGCGGUAAUACGUAGGUGGCAAGCGUUGUCCGGAAUUAUUGGGCGUAAAGCGCGCGCAGGCGGUUCCUUAAGUCUGAUGUGAAAGCCCCCGGCUCAACCGGGGAGGGUCAUUGGAAACUGGGGAACUUGAGUGCAGAAGAGGAGAGCGGAAUUCCACGUGUAGCGGUGAAAUGCGUAGAGAUGUGGAGGAACACCAGUGGCGAAGGCGGCUCUCUGGUCUGUAACUGACGCUGAGGCGCGAAAGCGUGGGGAGCGAACAGGAUUAGAUACCCUGGUAGUCCACGCCGUAAACGAUGAGUGCUAAGUGUUAGAGGGUUUCCGCCCUUUAGUGCUGCAGCAAACGCAUUAAGCACUCCGCCUGSGGAGU
This 859-nucleotide ribosomal RNA is filed under the name Bacillus sp. P128A. RNAcentral describes it as "bacterial SSU rRNA". It matches the Rfam family "Bacterial small subunit ribosomal RNA", at positions 39 to 881 of the family's 1533-position model. Lineage: Bacteria; Bacillati; Bacillota; Bacilli; Caryophanales; Bacillaceae. The record is from RNAcentral.